UCACUGCUUCAGCCGUGUGGCCGGUGGCGGACUGGCAGAGAACUGGGUGAGGACUGUGGUAAGGGCUUGACUGACUGACUGAGCCUCAAUGUUUUGUUACUGAAGGACUUUUCCGCCUUAGAAAUGAAGGACUCUAUACUUCAUGCCUGAUGCCACUGAGGGCUUGAGCACUGAGGGCUUGAGCUUAACUUGUCACUGAGGGCUUGAGCUUAACUGAGGAGUGAGGAGUCCUGCAGGUAUACUAGUAAAGGAAAGGAAAGGAAAGGAGUUAGUGAGGCUGUGAGGAGGCGGACAGACUAAUGAAAAUGAAACCCUAGUAUUACUAGACUAAAGGGUAUACUAGUAAAUUAGUAAACCCUUAUUGGGUUAUCGGUUUACCCAAUAACAGAUUUGAUAAACCGAGCCCGAACCGAUAACCCAAUAAGAAAUUUUUUUUAACCCGUUACCGAACCAUUAGCCCAAUAACCCAAUACCGAUAACCCAAUAAGUAAUUAACGGUUCGGGUUAUCGGUUUUACCCGAUAUAUGCCCACCCCUAAGUAAUAUUGUUGACUGCAUUAACUCCAUACAUAUAGUUAAAGGAGCUUGUAAUCAAAGUUACUUCUAAUCCAACACUUAUGUGUUGUUGUAAUGAAAUAUCUUGACGAAAAAAAAGGUUGUUGUACCUUUUACAUUAUAGUUUAUGUCAGAUUUUUGUUAGUUUUUAGUAAGACAAAUGUUGCUUUAACCCGCUCAUAUUAUAUAUGUAUUUCUUUGUAAUUUCUAAUUUCAUCUUAAAUGUGUAGAAAAAUGCAGGUGAUCCAAUUGGAAAUGUUGGCCACAAGUCCAAUUUAAUCUAUUGAAGUGAAUGAUGAAGACUUUUUCAAUAAUUGUGAUAUUUAUUUUCAUCUAUGUGAAUACAUUCGGUUUUUUAUAGUUUGUUGCUAGUUCACAUCUUGAAACAAAGCUUUAUUAAUGUGUAGUACAUGAAAUAUAUUUCUGCUUUGAAGUUCAGUGGAAUUGUUGUUUUUUUCUUUUGGUUAUUUGUUGUGUAAUUUAAUGCUUGAGAUCC
This 1050-nucleotide long non-coding RNA is filed under the name Nicotiana tabacum (common tobacco). RNAcentral's name for it is "long non-coding RNA (NTAB_LNC017798)". The record is from RNAcentral. Lineage: Eukaryota; Viridiplantae; Streptophyta; Magnoliopsida; Solanales; Solanaceae.